This 330-nucleotide long non-coding RNA is filed under the name Medicago truncatula (barrel medic). Its description in RNAcentral is "long non-coding RNA (MTRU_LNC008211)". Lineage: Eukaryota; Viridiplantae; Streptophyta; Magnoliopsida; Fabales; Fabaceae. The record is from RNAcentral.
ACGAACAGAAUAGAAUAGGUCACAAACAGGACUGCGAGUCACAUACGAACUAGAACAAAACAUUAACAAACACAGUUAGCUAAAUAAAAUAUCAUCAAUUCUAGAAUCGGAGUAGUAAAGAGUGAAUUCUGGAAUCAAAAAUAAACUCACAAUUCUGGAAUAAAAAAUAACCCCAACAUCCGGAACAAAACCCAUAAAACUCACAAUUCCGGAAACAAAAUUAAACUCACAACAAAACCCAUAAAACUCGUAAUUCUGAAAUCAGAAACAAAUUCAAAUCAGAAGAAAGUACCGAUAUUUGUGAUUUGAGAACGAGGAACUAGUUCAACG